GGCUUAGAGUUUGAUCAUGGCUCAGGACGAACGCUGGCGGCGUGCCUAACACAUGCAAGUCGAACGGAAGUAAGAGCUUCGGUUUUUACUUUAGUGGCGAACGGGUGAGUAACGCGUGAGGAACCUGCCUUUCAGUGGGGGACAACAGUUGGAAACGACUGCUAAUACCGCAUAAUGUUUCCGGUCUGCAUGGACUGGAAACCAAAGCUUUAUGUGCUGAAAGAUGGCCUCGCGUCUGAUUAGAUAGUUGGUGGGGUAACGGCCUACCAAGUCAACGAUCAGUAGCCGGUCUGAGAGGAUGAACGGCCACAUUGGGACUGAGAUACGGCCCAGACUCCUACGGGAGGCAGCAGUGGGGAAUAUUGGGCAAUGGGGGAAACCCUGACCCAGCAACGCCGCGUGAAGGAAGAAGGCCUUCGGGUUGUAAACUUCUUUUACCAGGGACGAAGGACGUGACGGUACCUGGAGAAAAAGCACCGGCUAACUACGUGCCAGCAGCCGCGGUAAAACGUAGGGUGCAAGCGUUGUCCGGAAUUACUGGGUGUAAAGGGAGCGCAGGCGGACCGGCAAGUUGGAAGUGAAAUCUAUGGGCUCAACCCAUAAAUUGCUUUCAAAACUGCUGGCCUUGAGUAGUGCAGAGGUAGGUG
RNAcentral lists this ribosomal RNA (647 nucleotides) under uncultured bacterium. RNAcentral's name for it is "bacterial SSU rRNA". It matches the Rfam family "Bacterial small subunit ribosomal RNA", at positions 1 to 663 of the family's 1533-position model. The record is from RNAcentral.